AACGAACGCUGGCGGCAUGCCUAAUACAUGCAAGUCGAACGAUCACUUCGGUGGUAGUGGCGCACGGGUGCGUAACGCGUGGGAAUCUGCCCUUGGGUUCGGAAUAACAGCGGGAAACUGCUGCUAAUACCGGAUGAUGACGAAAGUCCAAAGAUUUAUCGCCCAAGGAUGAGUCCGCGUAGGAUUAGGUAGUUGGUGAGGUAAAGGCUCACCAAGCCGACGAUCCUUAGCUGGUCUGAGAGGAUGAUCAGCCACACUGGGACUGAGACACGGCCCAGACUCCUACGGGAGGCAGCAGUAGGGAAUAUUGGACAAUGGGGGCAACCCUGAUCCAGCAAUGCCGCGUGAGUGAUGAAGGCCUUAGGGUUGUAAAGCUCUUUUACCCGAGAUGAUAAUGACAGUAUCGGGAGAAUAAGCUCCGGCUAACUCCGUG
This 433-nucleotide ribosomal RNA is filed under the name uncultured bacterium. RNAcentral describes it as "bacterial SSU rRNA". It matches the Rfam family "Bacterial small subunit ribosomal RNA", at positions 29 to 507 of the family's 1533-position model. The record is from RNAcentral.